UACGUAGGGGGCUAGCGUUGUCCGGAAUCAUUGGGCGUAAAGCGCGUGUAGGCGGUUCGGUAAGUCCGCUGUGAAAGUCGGGGGCUCAACCCUCGGAUGCCGGUGGAUACUGUCGGACUAGAGUACGGAAGAGGCGAAUGGAAUUCCUGGUGUAGCGGUGAAAUGCGCAGAUAUCAGGAGGAACACCGAUUGCGAAGGCAGCUCGCUGGGACGUUACUGACGCUGAGACGCGAAAGCGUGGGGAGCAAACAGG
Molecule: ribosomal RNA, 253 nt
Filed under: uncultured bacterium
Lineage: Bacteria
Description: partial 16S ribosomal RNA
Rfam family: Bacterial small subunit ribosomal RNA
Source: RNAcentral